UACGAAGGGGGCAAGCGUUGCUCGGAAUCACUGGGCGUAAAGGGCGCGUAGGCGGGCGUCUAAGUCAGGGGUGAAAUCCCGAGGCUCAACCUCGGAAUUGCCUUUGAUACUGGAUGUCUCGAGACCGGAAGAGGUGAGUGGAACUGCGAGUGUAGAGGUGAAAUUCGUAGAUAUUCGCAAGAACACCGGUGGCGAAGGCGGCUCACUGGUCCGGUUCUGACGCUGAGGCGCGAAAGCGUGGGGAGCAAACAGG
RNAcentral lists this ribosomal RNA (253 nucleotides) under uncultured bacterium. RNAcentral's name for it is "partial 16S ribosomal RNA". It matches the Rfam family "Bacterial small subunit ribosomal RNA", at positions 524 to 776 of the family's 1533-position model. The record is from RNAcentral.